AAUUUUGGACAAUGGGGGAAACCCUGCUCCAGCCAUCCCGCGUGUAUGAUGAGGGCCUUCGUGUUGUAAAGUACUUUUGGCAUAGAAGAUAAGGUACCUCCUAAUACGAUGUACUGCUGACGGUAUCUGCAGACUAUACACCGGCUAACUACGUUCCGCCAGCCGCGGUAAUACGUAGGGUGCAAGCGUUAAUCGGAAUUACUGGGCGUAAAGGGUGUGUAGGCGGUUCGGAAAGAAAGAUGGGAAAUCCCAGGGCUCAACCUUGGAACUGCAUUUUUAACUGCCGAGCUAGAGUAUGGCAGAGGAGGGUAGAAUUCCACGUGUAGCAGUGAAAUGCGUAGAUAUGUGGAGGAAUACCGAUGGCGAAGGCAGCCCCCUGGGAUAAUACUGACGCUCAGACACGAAAGCGUGGGGAGCAAACA
RNAcentral lists this ribosomal RNA (422 nucleotides) under uncultured bacterium. RNAcentral describes it as "partial 16S ribosomal RNA". It matches the Rfam family "Bacterial small subunit ribosomal RNA", at positions 360 to 774 of the family's 1533-position model. The record is from RNAcentral.